GGGCCUGUAGGGUAGCUUGGUCAAUCCUUGUGCGUUCGGGACGCAUAGACUCCGGUUCGAAUCCGGGCAGGCCCA
This 75-nucleotide transfer RNA is filed under the name Methanobacteriota archaeon. Its description in RNAcentral is "Euryarchaeota archaeon tRNA-Pro". It matches the Rfam family "tRNA". From Rfam's summary of the family: Transfer RNA (tRNA) molecules are approximately 80 nucleotides in length. Their secondary structure includes four short double-helical elements and three loops (D, anti-codon, and T loops). The record is from RNAcentral. Lineage: Archaea; Methanobacteriati; Methanobacteriota.